RNAcentral lists this long non-coding RNA (1896 nucleotides) under Sus scrofa (pig). RNAcentral describes it as "lncRNA (ENSSSCG00060025587.1)". Lineage: Eukaryota; Metazoa; Chordata; Mammalia; Artiodactyla; Suidae. The record is from RNAcentral.
AGAAGAGCUAAUGUAUGAUAUUUGGUUUCCCUUCCCAGAAAAAGAAAGAAAUAACAAACAACAACAGUCAAAUGAAAUAAAGGUAUCAUUCUUGAGAAGUUGCCAGAGAUUUAGUAGGACUUCAGCCUGCAUCUUGGAAAGACAUACCAGACUCCAUAACACAGGCUCACCAGAUGGGCGUCUGCCCUCAGCUCUUCCCCGAGGAGGGCACUCCUACGCUGACUUUGAUACAGGCCAGCAGAGGUACCACUUCCCCCAUCCGCUCCAGGAGCCCAAGCACAUCACAGAAACGUGAACACUGACGGGGCUUUUAAGUGAUGAGUGCAGUUACACGUGAGUACCAGGAGAGGCGCUGCAGUGCAAUCAGUGGUCCUGGAAACCAGGCGGUCCGUGACAGGCACCUGACCUUGACUUGUCUUUGGAAUCACAUGCUGCAUGGAAACCAACAAGCAGAAAUAUCCACCUGGUUUGGGGGGGGGGGAAGGAUGCACAACAGAUUGGCCAUCCUCUCUUUGGAGACGGUGUGUUUUUAGCUUUGGUUUGAACUUGACCCACCACCUCCCUGAUGAGCAUCCCCAAGCCUGAGAAGACAGGCCCUGGAGAAGAUGGGGUAGGCUGAAACCAGGGCAAGGAGUAGCCCCGGCAGACAGCACGUGGAGUAUCACCCCCAGUUCUACCUUGCCUUGAUUCUGAGCAUCUAGGAGGGGACAUGGUGUCUGGGUGUUCUACCUCUGUCUCCAGGUCUAGUCACAUCCCCUCCAGGCAGCCCAUGGCCCUGCCAGCCAUGACACCCUGCUUCAAGCCCUGGGGCCCCCAGUAAGGCGACCCCAGGGGAUGUGGUGAUCACAGAGUAAUCACCCCCCUGGGUGCUGGGUUCACAGCUGAAGCUCGAAUCUUCUAACACCCGGGAGGCGCAAUUAUCCGCCAUCAUGCUUUAAUUCUUAAUGAAAAUGAGACCCAGCACUGAAAGGGGAUGGGGUGGCCGAUUAUGUUCCUCUCUGGUGAGACGAGAGGUGAGUGGGGUCCCUGAGAGCUCGAGUCAGGCCCCAGGCCCCUCCUGGGGAAGGGGAGGCCCCCCUGGGAAAUCUCAUUGCUGCAUCAAUUGCCAGGGAUUCCCCCCCCACCAAAAAAAAGCACAGGUCCUGGGACUUUCCAAUGCCAACAGUACUGGAGGGCCUUCCCAAGUUCACCCACUUUUAACCUUUUAAGGGAGAUUGUGAGCUGUGUUCUCAUUAGCAGGUUUCUGUGGAAGCAACAGGGAGGGGCUGGGACUCCCUGUCCUUAUUACAAAAAAUUAGAAUGACUGGGUGUUAUGGUUAAUACAGGCUGGCCAAACCUGCAAUUAAAGAAAGUAAUUUUAAGCCGUGGUGAAAUAUUAAUAUUAAAAGUGUUUCAGGGACAGGAAUCUAAUUAACACAAGUUAAAGAAAAGCCUUAAAGAUUCUAAUUUUAUGAUCUUCUUAAAUAAAAAUUAACCUGAUUAGAGCCCUCUCUUAAAGGUUACAUUUAUUAAAAAGUUCCAAGCAAUUUAACCACAAUGGGUUUCGACAAGACAGCUUCCUGUCGACGCAGCCUCCCUAUUUUUAAAUUUUAUGAGGUUCUUCUGGCAGAGUUUUGUAGCAGUUAAGAUGAAAAUCCGGAUGCAGAGCACCCUUUAAAAGGAGGAGGGUGAGAGGAGGAGGAGGAAGAGGAAGAAGAAAGAAAUAUAAUCAAUUUGGAAUCAAAUUUAUUCCAAGGCAGAGAAGUGCAUAUAUACAUAUAUAUACAUAUAUAUAUAUAUAUAUAUAUUUUUUUUUUUUUCUGAUGGUGGAAAAAAGACAUGCAGGGAGGUCAAAGGUCACACAGAGAGGAGACAGUAUUGUGUAGAAACUGUCACGCAUCACCACCUAUUUUGACA